RNAcentral lists this unclassified non-coding RNA (932 nucleotides) under Hevea brasiliensis (rubber tree). Lineage: Eukaryota; Viridiplantae; Streptophyta; Magnoliopsida; Malpighiales; Euphorbiaceae. The record is from RNAcentral.
GUUCAUUGUGACAUCAAAGGUAGGAACGUCUUAAUAGGGAAAACUGGCGCCAAAAUUGCGGAUUUUGGGUGUGCGAAGAGGGUCGACGCGGUGGAGGCUGCGGCUGAGUCAGCUGCGCCAAUUGGCGGCACACCCAUGUUUAUGGCACCGGAGGUGGCGCGUGGAGAGGAACAGGGGUUUGCUAGUGAUAUAUGGGCUUUAGGGUGUACAAUUAUUGAAAUGGCUAGUGGUGGUGCUGCACUGUGGUCUGAUGCCAAUGAUCCAGUUUCUGUCAUGUACCGGAUUGGAUUUUCGGAUCAGUUGCCGGAAUUCCCCUGUUCUCUAUCAGAGCCAGCAAGAGAUUUCUUGGACAAGUGUUUAAGGAGGGAUCCAAAACAGAGGUGGACAGCAAAUCAACUUCUGAAGCAUCCGUUUCUGAUGAAAUCCAAUUCCAAUUCUCAGGCAAAACAAAUUCAAGAAUCUAAUUCAAGUUCAAAUUCGCCUACAAGCAUUCUUGACCAAGGCUUUUGGAACUCAAUGGAUGAAUCAGAAUCAGAGAAAGUGGACAAUCUUGUCCCCUCAAGUGAUGAAAGUUCAGCCAAGGAGAGGAUCAGACGGCUGUCCUUGCUUUCAGGGGGACCCAGUUGGAAUUGGGAUGAGAAUUGGAUCCCAAUUAGAGGCAAUUGUCGUCGGGACGGUGAUACAAUGAUGGAUUCAAUUGAAGCUAAGGAUGACGUGAUCAAUUACAGUUCAGUGUACCAAGAAAGCUAUGGUGGUGGUGAGCAAUUGUCGGACGACUUGUUAGAUAGCAAUAUUAACAAUAGAAUUAGUGGGGACUUCUUGGGUGCCUGUAAAUAUGGGAAAGAUAGUUUUCUAAUUAGAAGUAAUCUAGAGUUUGAUAAGCACAAAGAUUCCUUGUUAAAUUCUUAUAUUCCAAGAUUAAUUUUACAAGC